GUCCCACAUCGGCUAAUCAGCGGAAAGGUCUGUGCCUUAUAAUGAGGAGGCCUAAAACCUUUUCCUCACGAGGCGCCCCUACGGAGGACAAAACCGUGAGGGACGCCUAAGCCCCCUGUACGAGCUCCGCGCCUGCAGGUGGGUGCGCACCCCGUGCGAGCUCCGCGCCCACGGGGCCCAAAGCGGACAAUACCAUAUCGCUCUGCCGAGCCGAGCUGCUCCAGCACUCUUUCGUUCAGACGAGGCGCCU
Molecule: long non-coding RNA, 250 nt
Filed under: Phoenix dactylifera (date palm)
Lineage: Eukaryota; Viridiplantae; Streptophyta; Magnoliopsida; Arecales; Arecaceae
Description: long non-coding RNA (PDAC_LNC001694)
Source: RNAcentral